RNAcentral lists this ribosomal RNA (373 nucleotides) under uncultured organism. RNAcentral describes it as "partial 16S ribosomal RNA". It matches the Rfam family "Bacterial small subunit ribosomal RNA", at positions 527 to 896 of the family's 1533-position model. The record is from RNAcentral.
GUAGGUGGCAAGCGUUGUCCGGAAUUAUUGGGCGUAAAGCGCGCGCAGGCGGUUCUUUAAGUCUGAUGUGAAAGCCCACGGGCUCAACCGUGGAGGGUCAUUGGAAACUGGAGAACCUUGAGUACAGAAGAGGAAAGCGGAAUUCCACGUGUAGCGGUGAAAUGCGUAGAGAUGUGGAGGAACACCAGCGGCGAAGGCGGCUUUCUGGUCUGUAACUGACGCUGAGGCGCGAAAGCGUGGGGAGCAAACAGGAUUAGAUACCCUGGUAGUCCACGCCGUAAACGAUGAGUGCUAAGUGUUAGGGGGUUUCCGCCCCUUAGUGCUGCAGCUAACGCAUUAAGCACUCCGCCUGGGGAGUACGGCCGCAAGGCUG